GACGAACGCUGGCGGCGUGCUUAACACAUGCAAGUCGAACGGAAAGGCCCUGCUUGCAGGGUACUCGAGUGGCGAACGGGUGAGUAACACGUGGGUGAUCUGCUCUUCACUUCGGGAUAAGCCUGGGAAACUGGGUCUAAUACCGGAUAGUAGCCAUUUUUAGUGUGAUGGUUGGAAAGUUUUUUCGGUGUAGGAUGAGCUCGCGGCCUAUCAGCUUGUUGGUGGGGUAAUGGCCUACCAAGGCGGCGACGGGUAGCCGGCCUGAGAGGGUGGACGGCCACAUUGGGACUGAGAUACGGCCCAGACUCCUACGGGAGGCAGCAGUGGGGAAUAUUGCACAAUGGGCGCAAGCCUGAUGCAGCGACGCCGCGGGGGGGAUGACGGCCUUCGGGUUGUAAACUCCUUUCGCUAGGGACGAAGCUUUUUGUGACGGUACCUAGAUAAGAAGCACCGGCUAACUACGUG
RNAcentral lists this ribosomal RNA (465 nucleotides) under uncultured bacterium. Its description in RNAcentral is "partial 16S ribosomal RNA". It matches the Rfam family "Bacterial small subunit ribosomal RNA", at positions 28 to 507 of the family's 1533-position model. The record is from RNAcentral.